Molecule: ribosomal RNA, 644 nt
Filed under: uncultured Lactobacillus sp.
Lineage: Bacteria; Bacillati; Bacillota; Bacilli; Lactobacillales; Lactobacillaceae
Description: bacterial SSU rRNA
Rfam family: Bacterial small subunit ribosomal RNA
Source: RNAcentral
GACGAACGCUGGCGGCGUGCCUAAUACAUGCAAGUCGAGCGAGCGGAACCAACAGAUUUACUUCGGUAAUGACGUUGGGAAAGCGAGCGGCGGAUGGGUGAGUAACACGUGGGGAACCUGCCCCUAAGCCUGGGAUACCAUUUGGAAACAGGUGCUAAUACCGGAUAAUAAAGCAGAUCGCAUGAUCAGCUUUUGAAAGGCGGCGUAAGCUGUCGCUAAGGGAUGGCCCCGCGGUGCAUUAGCUAGUUGGUAAGGUAACGGCUUACCAAGGCGACGAUGCAUAGCCGAGUUGAGAGACUGAUCGGCCACAUUGGGACUGAGACACGGCCCAAACUCCUACGGGAGGCAGCAGUAGGGAAUCUUCCACAAUGGACGCAAGUCUGAUGGAGCAAUGCCGCGUGAGUGAAGAAGGUUUUCGGAUCGUAAAGCUCUGUUGUUGGUGAAGAAGGAUAGAGGUAGUAACUGGCCUUUAUUUGACGGUAAUCAACCAGAAAGUCACGGCUAACUACGUGCCAGCAGCCGCGGUAAUACGUAGGUGGCAAGCGUUGUCCGGAUUUAUUGGGCGUAAAGCGAGCGCAGGCGGAAAAAUAAGUCUAAUGUGAAAGCCCUCGGCUUAACCGAGGAACUGCAUCGGAAACUGUUUU